Molecule: RNA transcript, 2525 nt
Organism: Harpia harpyja (harpy eagle)
Lineage: Eukaryota; Metazoa; Chordata; Aves; Accipitriformes; Accipitridae
Gene name: non-receptor tyrosine-protein kinase TYK2-like
Exons: 5
Source: RefSeq, a predicted model, not a curated record
CGUCUCUCGGGCCCAAUGGGAGGCGGCGGCUCUGCGGGGCGGAGGGAGCCGGAGCGGCGGCCGGGCCGGCGGGGAGCGGGGCCCGGCCUGUGCUUGGAGCCUGAGACGCCCAGGUGGAAGAAACCGUGACUGCGGAGGCCGAAAUCGGGGUGAAAUCGGGAAGGUGAUAACAGCCACCCUUCCCGCACCGCCUUCGGAGCUCAGCACCGAGUUAUGCUUCAUCUGACGGUGAGCUGGGGCGUGUUCGGAGGCUGUCGCCAUGUCUCUGUGCCAAUGCACGGUGAAGCACAGCGAGUCGGAUGCCGAAGGCUGUUGCUUCUCGGCGAGCGGCGGCUUGAAGGUUUGCCUGCACUGGAGUGGCGAGGAGGAGCAGGAGCGGUGCCAGACCUACGCCCAGGGCACGCUCAGCGCCGAGGAGAUCUGCAUCGACCUCGCACGAAGGAUCGGCAUCACGCCGCUGUGCUACAGCCUCUUCGCCCUCUAUGACACCCAGAGCCGAGUCUGGCUCCCGCCCAACCACCUCUUCAAAAUCAGCAAAGACACCAACCUCAACCUGCUUUUCCGCAUGAGGUGAGGACGGUUCCCUCCCCUCUGUCCCCUGCUGCCGUGUUUUUUGGAGCCCUGCGGAGCUGCCAACCUCCUCUUGCUUGCGGAGCAGAGACGUGCCAGGCUUUAAUAGGGCUGCACUGGAAAUAAUGUCGCUUGCUUUUCUGCCCCCGGGUUACCUGUUUCCAGAUUUGCCUGGAAAAUGUUUGCGGAGGUUGGCAUGGGGUUGGGGAACCGAGCAAACUCAGCAGGGCUGGUCUAAAUCGGACUCGGAAGGAUUAAAUGAGGAACAGGACGUGUUUGGAGCCCCUGCCUCUCCUUCAGUGUAGAAAAAUUCCUUUCCCAGUUCCUCAUAUUCCUCUGCCGUUCGCCCUCCGUCUCCCUGACUGGUUCAGCCUGUGCUUCCUCCUCUCAGUUCUGUCCCCGAGCGGGACAAUGUCCCCUUUGAAGUGUUUUGAGACCAACAGCAAACACCCAAGGGCUCCUCGGAGCAAGCCCUGGGCUGUGGCAUUGCCAGCUGGGUUCCCAGGAAGGCGAGAGCUGUUUUUUGUGGAUGUCUUUGCGAGAUACUCGGGUUCCCUGGAGAUGACGGGGACGACGAUCUUAGUGUUUCCUCCCAAAACAUUGCCACUGGCGAUUUUAUUAGGAGAGCUUUUUCAGGCUGGUUUGGUUUUGGGGUUUUUGGGUUUGUUUUUUUUCAUGGUGUCUGAGUCAUAGCGAAGGUAAAAGCGAGGGAGAAACAGAAAACCCCGGCUUGGAGAUUUAUUAGCCUGUUUUAUACGACUUGCAAUACCUUCUUCUUCCUGGGGAACCGCGGCGUAUCGGGCCGAGGCCUCUCUCCUCAGCCGGCCGUCGUGCCAAACACAACCCGUGCGGCAGAAAACGGUCUCCGAGGCACCGAGCCGGCUCCCGUGCCUGGCCGGGACAUCGUUGCACACGUAGCUGUACCGUGUCGUCCAAGGAAGGUUGAAAUGGGAGCCAUGCUUCCCAGUGUGCAGGGAGGAAGGCUUUGAGUCCUCGUGGCCAGCACCUCUGCAUCCCUCGGCCCUGCUGGAGGAGAGCGCCGUGAUCCGUAGCUCUCUGACCGCGGAUACAUUGCAGAGCUCUGACUUUUUGGGCCAGAAAGUCCUUUUCCUUCAGCUCUGGUUUCGAUGCCACUUGGCUGGCGCAGGCGCCUGCAGUGCGAGCGCUGAAAUAACCCCGGCGUGUUAACCGCAGGCAGAGAUGCGGCUUUGGGGGUUGAGCGGUGGGAACGGAAACUCACUCUGCCCGCAGAGCUCUCUUUGUGCUGAUGUUUUUUUAGAUGUGGCGUUUUGUGGGGGGGACGCUCCUCACCCCAGCUGCUCUCAUUUUUUUGGGGCCCCUGGGCUGGCAGCACGAAAACUUGGCUGCGAAAUGGCAUUGUGGGGAGCACUGCUGCUAAAGAGGCGUUUGCGGGUUGGGGUUGGUUGCAGCCAGAGUUAAUUAGGGUCCCUUUCAUGAAGCUCUGCUGAUGGGGUCGUAUUCGUCGUGCUGUACGGCACAGCUGGUCAUAAAUGUAGAGGAAAAAGCUUAAAGGAACCCGUUUUGGUGGCAGGAAGAGGUUGCUUCCCUUUUGCCUCCUGGUGUCUGAAUUGUUGCCUUGUGCUCAGAUCACAUUUUUUGAGGACGUGGCUGGUUCUCAUGUUGGCAGUGGGAUUUCAAGAAGUUUGGCUCUUAAAAAAAACCCAAACCUAAAACCCACCACUCUGAGCCCAGAGUGCGGCCCCCGGCUGCACUGGGGCAGGACAGAGCUCUCUGCUGCUGGUCUGCUGGUCCUUUCCCCUGUCCCCUUGAGACAGCCAGUAACAAAACCUCUGCAAAACCCUCUUUGGGACCUGGCUCCAGUCCCCCAGCAGCCUCUGGGGAAGGGGCAGGCAGCUGUGCUGGAUGGAAGGAGCAGAUUUAUGGGUAAAAUGAGCCUCGAGCAGGUCCAGGGCAGCCACUGGACCCGGGUUUGG